This 231-nucleotide long non-coding RNA is filed under the name Olea europaea (common olive). RNAcentral's name for it is "long non-coding RNA (OEUR_LNC008549)". Lineage: Eukaryota; Viridiplantae; Streptophyta; Magnoliopsida; Lamiales; Oleaceae. The record is from RNAcentral.
GUUACAUAGUUUUCAUAGGAAUGAAUAGCAAUUCUACGGUUCAAUGCUUCUCUAUAUGCCCUAGCCGUUCUACGAGUCAUAUCUGUUGCAUUUUCACAUACAUCAUACUUUUUCUUUACUUAAAGAAAACAUGCAAAUAUUUAAACUUUCAUAUCACGCAAUUCUCUUUAAGCCCUUAGCUUUUGCCCAAGUCCAUUACAUAUCUUUAAAUAACACAUCUCUAAAUCAUAU